RNAcentral lists this long non-coding RNA (827 nucleotides) under Junco hyemalis (dark-eyed junco). RNAcentral's name for it is "lncRNA (ENSJHYG00000002936.1)". The record is from RNAcentral. Lineage: Eukaryota; Metazoa; Chordata; Aves; Passeriformes; Passerellidae.
CCGGGCUAGAGCGAGGGGCACGGCUGUCAGUCGGGGGGGCUCGGUCCUCUCAUUUUCCUGUGCCCAUCGCAUCUCCCCGCGGACCAGCCGGCCCUGCCCAGCUGCUCCCCUCCCUCCCCCUGUCCGGGAACCGGGUUUGGGGCUGGGGGAGGCGGUGCCCACCCCUCCGCGGGGCCGGCGGGAGCGGUGGCUCGGCAGCCCGGGCCGGGCUGCGCUGCGCUGCGCUGGGGGAGCAGGUUUCUUUGUUGGCUGCCGGGUGACUGGUUCCCAUUAAUCUCCCGCACUGGUCGUGGCCGUCUCCACUUCCUGCCUUUGCAUACUUUUCUCUCCCUCGAUCUCAGUCCCUUCCCACCCCCCUCCCUCCCUCCCCCCUUUCUUUGCCUCUUCCCAGCUUCUCCAAAAAAGCUACAACCGCCCGGGCUGCGGGACGGGGGCUGCAGGCGGCCGGCGGAGGGAGCGCAUCCCUGCGCACCUCGAAACAUGAAAGAAUACAGGAAGUCCUGCAUGACCUUAUGAAUACCUGUGCUAAUUAAGUCACUGGCUUGGUACUGGGAGAACAGCAAGAUAAUAACACAGAGUUUUGUCUGGGAAAUACAAAUCUGAGAAUGGAGUGGAAAGGGAAAUGCUCCAAAUUUCAGGUAACAAAAAUUGCCUUUUUAAUGUUAUGUCCUCCCAUUGUAAAGUUUGAUGAUUUUUAAUUUUUUUUUUAACUUGGUGGUGGUGUUUACUCCCAGCCGAGAGUGCCGGAGUGAGCUUGGAUUCUCUAACUCUGGGGAAUGAUGUCAUGCAGCAACAGUUGGAUUCUAUUAGCCAGGGAAAGAGGAAAC